AGCUUUGCGCAGUGGCAGUAUCGUAGCCAAUGAGGUUUAUCCGAGGCGUGAUGAUUGCUAAUUGAAAAAUAUGAUACCUAUAAUC
This 85-nucleotide small nuclear RNA is filed under the name Tupaia belangeri (northern tree shrew). Its description in RNAcentral is "U4 spliceosomal RNA (ENSTBEG00000020224.1)". It matches the Rfam family "U4 spliceosomal RNA", at positions 1 to 83 of the family's 138-position model. Rfam says of the family: U4 small nuclear RNA (U4 snRNA) is a component of the major U2-dependent spliceosome. The structure of U4 snRNA from yeast and human has been reported. U4 snRNA presents a k-turn RNA motif in the 5p-SL related to recognition of Snu13 protein. Lineage: Eukaryota; Metazoa; Chordata; Mammalia; Scandentia; Tupaiidae. The record is from RNAcentral.